RNAcentral lists this non-coding RNA (113 nucleotides) under uncultured Eubacterium sp. RNAcentral's name for it is "FMN riboswitch (RFN element)". It matches the Rfam family "FMN riboswitch aptamer (RFN element)". Rfam says of the family: The RFN element is a highly conserved domain that is found frequently in the 5'-untranslated regions of prokaryotic mRNAs that encode for flavin mononucleotide (FMN) biosynthesis and transport proteins. This element is a metabolite-dependent riboswitch that directly binds FMN in the absence of proteins. Lineage: Bacteria; Bacillati; Bacillota; Clostridia; Eubacteriales; Eubacteriaceae. The record is from RNAcentral.
AUCUUCAGGGCGGGGUGAGAGUCCCCACUGGCGGUACAGUCCGCGACCUGCCGAACAGGCAGCUGAACCGGUGAAACUCCGGUACCAACCGUAUAGUCGGGAUGGAAGAAGAU